GAUGAACGCUGGCGGCGUGCCUAAUACAUGCAAGUCGAGCGAACAGAUGAGGAGCUUGCUCCUCUGACGUUAGCGGCGGACGGGUGAGUAACACGUGGAUAACCUACCUCUAAGACUGGGAUAACUUCGGGAAACCGGAGCUAAUACCGGAUAAUAUAUUGAACCGCAUGGUUCAAUAGUUAAAGACGGUUUUGCUGUCACUUAUAGAUGGAUCCGCGCCGCAUUAGGUAGUUGGUAAGGUAACGGCUUACCAAGGCAACGAUGCGUAGCCGACCUGAGAGGGUGAACAGCCACACUGGGAGUGGGACACGGUCCAGGCUCCUACGGGAGGCAGGAGUGGGGAAUAUUGCACAAAGGGGGGAAGCCUGCACGAGGCACGCCGGGUGGGUGAAGAAGGGCUUCGGGUUGUAAAACCCUUUUUUUGGGGAAAAAAAAAAGCGGGAUGAAACAAGGCUGUUCUGACGGUACCCAAAUAAGAAGCCCCGGCUAACUUCGUG
This 497-nucleotide ribosomal RNA is filed under the name uncultured bacterium. RNAcentral's name for it is "partial 16S ribosomal RNA". It matches the Rfam family "Bacterial small subunit ribosomal RNA", at positions 28 to 507 of the family's 1533-position model. The record is from RNAcentral.